RNAcentral lists this ribosomal RNA (903 nucleotides) under uncultured bacterium. Its description in RNAcentral is "bacterial SSU rRNA". It matches the Rfam family "Bacterial small subunit ribosomal RNA", at positions 10 to 886 of the family's 1533-position model. The record is from RNAcentral.
AGUUUGAUCCUGGCUCAGAAUAAACGCUGGCGGCGCGCCUAACACAUGCAAGUCGAACGAGAAAUUCUCCGCUUGCGGGGAAGAGUAAAGUGGCGCACGGGUGAGUAACGCGUGGGUAACCUGUCCUUGAAUUUGGGAUAACCCAUCGAAAGGUGGCCUAAUACCGAAUAAAGCCCUAAGAACCAAGGUUCUUGGGAUGAAAGCUGACCUCUUCAUGAAAGUUGGCGUUUGAGGAGGGGCUCGCGUACCAUUAGCUUGUUGGUAGGGUAAAGGCCUACCAAGGCUACGAUGGUUAGCUGGUCUGAGAAGAUGAUCAGCCACACUGGAACUGAAACACGGUCCAGACUCCUACGGGAGGCAGCAGUGAGGAAUCUUGCGCAAUGGGGGAAACCCUGACGCAGCGACGCCGUGUGAGUGAAGAAGGCCUUCGGGUCGUAAAGCUCUGUCAAGUGGGAAUAAAAGCCCUUGGCAAAUAACCAAGGGCUUUGAAGGUACCACUAAAGGAAGCACCGGCUAACUCCGUGCCAGCAGCCGCGGUAAUACGGAGGGUGCAAGCGUUAUUCGGAUUUAUUGGGCGUAAAGAGCGUGUAGGUGGUUGUGAUAGUCAGAUGUGAAAUCCUUCUGCUCAACAGAAGAAGUACAUCUGAAACUUCACAACUUGAGUACGAGAGAGGAAAGUGGAAUUCCCAGUGUAGAGGUGAAAUUCGUAGAUAUUGGGAGGAACACCUGUGGCGAAGGCGACUUUCUGGAUCGAUACUGACGCUGAGACGCGAAAGCGUAGGGAGCAAACAGGAUUAGAUACCCUGGUAGUCCACGCUGUAAACGAUGGGAACUAGGUGUAGCGGGUAUUGAUCCCUGCUGUGCCGAAGCUAACGCAUUAAGUCCCCGCCGGGAGACUACACG